GAUGAACGCUGGCGGCGUGCCUAAUACAUGCAAGUCGAGCGAACGGACGAGAAGCUUGCUUCUCUGAUGUUAGCGGCGGACGGGUGAGUAACACGUGGAUAACCUACCUAUAAGACUGGGAUAACUUCGGGAAACCGUAGCUAAUACCGGAUAAUAUUUUGAACCGCAUGGUUCAAAAGUGAAAGACGGUCUUGCUGUCACUUAUAGAUGGAUCCGCGCUGCAUUAGCUAGUUGGUAAGGUAACGGCUUACCAAGGCAACGAUGCAUAGCCGACCUGAGAGGGUGAUCGGCCACACUGGAACUGAGACACGGUCCAGAACCCUACGGGAGGCAGAAGUAGGGAAUCUUCCGCAAUGGGCGAAAGCCUGACGGAGCAACGCCGCGUGAGUGAUGAAGGUCUUCGGAUCGUAAAACUCUGUUAUUAGGGAAGAAAAUAUGUGUAAGUAACUGUGCACAUCUUGACGGUACCUAAUCAGAAAGCAACGGCUAACUACGU
RNAcentral lists this ribosomal RNA (496 nucleotides) under uncultured bacterium. RNAcentral's name for it is "partial 16S ribosomal RNA". It matches the Rfam family "Bacterial small subunit ribosomal RNA", at positions 28 to 506 of the family's 1533-position model. The record is from RNAcentral.